GUUGGACCAACACCAUUCCAACAUCAUAUUGAGGAUGUUAUUAAGAAAGAAGAGCUUGAAAUGAGGGUGAUCCCAACGUGUACUUUAGCCCAACUUUCAUCCCUACCUUGCUCAAGUACUUUCUUCCUCAGGCUGCUCCGUGGUCUGGCCUACUUCUGGGUGACCUUGGACGCCACGGAACGGGUCCAGUGUAUGACAAACUGUCACAGAGGUUCAAAAGAGCUGCUUAUAAACCCACCCAGAAUUACACUCAGGACAAUAAAACACAAGGGAUAAUGGAGAAAAGUCAGUGGGACUUGAAAAAGAUCUCUUUCCAACGAAGACAACUGACCAGACUGGAUGAUUUUGUAUCCACCUACAAGAUCACCCUGAACGCCCUUCUUAGGGAAUACAGAGACUCUCUGAAGAG
Molecule: long non-coding RNA, 409 nt
Organism: Sander lucioperca (pikeperch)
Lineage: Eukaryota; Metazoa; Chordata; Actinopteri; Perciformes; Percidae
Exons: 3
Source: RefSeq, a predicted model, not a curated record